This 286-nucleotide unclassified non-coding RNA is filed under the name uncultured fungus. RNAcentral's name for it is "partial contains small subunit ribosomal RNA, internal transcribed spacer 1, and 5.8S ribosomal RNA". The stretch from base 1 to 73 matches the Rfam family "Eukaryotic small subunit ribosomal RNA", at positions 1759 to 1831 of the family's 1831-position model. Lineage: Eukaryota; Fungi. The record is from RNAcentral.
ACAAACUUGGUCAUUUAGAGGAAGUAAAAGUCGUAACAAGGUUUCCGUAGGUGAACCUGCGGAAGGAUCAUUACUGAAACGGGCGCGUCCUCCUGCGCCGCGCUCCGGCGCGUUGCUGCGGAGGUCCGCCUUUCCACUUCAAACCCCUGUGCACUUGGUGGCCCGCUCGUUGGGCCUCUUUUUACAAACGUUAUAUUAUUUAUGAACUUUGCGGCUCACGCCGUCCAAAUACAAAACAACUUUCAACAACGGAUCUCUUGGCUCUCGCAUCGAUGAAGAACGCAGC